RNAcentral lists this long non-coding RNA (368 nucleotides) under Brachypodium distachyon (stiff brome). Its description in RNAcentral is "long non-coding RNA (BDIS_LNC004568)". The record is from RNAcentral. Lineage: Eukaryota; Viridiplantae; Streptophyta; Magnoliopsida; Poales; Poaceae.
AAUUCAAUGAGAGGUGUCAUUCUUUAUUGGAUUCAGCUCUUAAAGUUUAAGUUAGAUUCAGUUUAAGUUCAGCUUUUAAAGUUCAGGUUUAAGGUUCUAUACAUGGUUCAGAUUUUAAGUUCAGGUUUAAGUGGAUUAGAUUCAGUUUAAGUUCAGUUUUUAAAUUUAUGUGGUUCAGGUUUAAGGUUCAGUUUAAGUUCAGGUUUAAGGUUCUGUACAUGGUUCAGGGUUAGGUCUAGGUGAUUUAAGUUCUGAUUUAAAUUUAUGUUUAGGUUCAGACUUCAAUUCAGGUUUAGGUAAAUUUAAAUUCAGGUUGAGAGAAUAGAUUCAGGUUCAGAAGAGAUAAGAUAGGAGAGGUAAGAGAGAAG